UUUUUUCCUUUUAUACUAAACCUCCUAAUAGAGUAGUAAACCACAUUGUGUGACUGUGUGAUUCUAAUCCUUAUGAAUAUUAUUUGGCAGUGAUAGUUGCCAACUUCUGUUAGGCGUUUCUAACUUUUCCCAUUUCCACUUGUUAUGAAGGACACUGAUUAUGUGAAGGAACUAAAGGAGGCUUUUAAGGUCUUUGACAAGGAUCAAAAUGGUUACAUUUCUGCUGUAGAGAAUUGAGGCCUUGCAUUGGAUUACAACACUUUUGGCAAGACAUCAGGCUGAGGCAAUCAUUGAAGAUUUCUUGUUCAUUUUUUACAUCAGUUCGUGCAUAUGUACUUACUGUACAUUGAUCACUCGUAUAGGUUUCCUGAAGUAAUAUCAAAUGCUAUGUUCACUGCCUCUGUUCUUGAAAAUAUUGCUGCUGAUGGCUUGCUAUAAGAGGCAUGUGCAUGUUAGCUUUCCUUUUCAGAUGGGGUGUUAAGAAGCCUCAAUUCAUGGAGAAUUCUGUCACGAUCUUGUUGAAUGCAGGUCUUGGGAUGGCCAUGUUCAGUCUCAGACUGUUCAUGGCCUUGUAGCUAAGAAUCAUAGCCUGUAGGACUAAACUCGCUGCAUACGGAUUGGUUGCGAGGUUCCUCACUGGCCCGGCAGUCAUGGCGAUCGCAUCUGUUGGGGUUGGCCUCAGAGGCACAAUCCUCAGCGUGUCCAUUGUUCAAGUGGGUCCAUUGCAUUUUCAGCUCAAUCUUUAAAACACACGCAAACACAUUUUCAGCCUCUUACGUAUAAUGUCAUAACAUGCAAUUUCUUCCAUUUUGUAUUAUGAAAUUGAUAUUAGGCCAUGUGCAGUAAGCUUUCGGAUCAAAUCGAAGCUAAGAAUAGGGUGUUAGUUGAUAGCAAAUUGAUAACCAGUAGAGGCACAUCCAUGGAGUUUUCACUUGGGAUUGUUGAGAAGCUAUUUGGCUGCGAGAAGGCAUUGGAUCUUGCUGUUAAUGAGGACUUUAAAUAGACAUAUAACUAUUAUGUUGGCAUUGUACUUUUGUGAAUGGAAAUGAAUGAUUAUAUAUGAUUGAAUGAAUGAAUGAUUGUGUUUGAUUGAAUGAA
Long non-coding RNA from Magnolia sinica, 1098 nucleotides. RefSeq lists it as uncharacterized. The transcript has 5 exons. The record is from RefSeq and is a predicted model, not a curated record. NCBI's taxonomy places the organism in Eukaryota, Viridiplantae, Streptophyta, Magnoliopsida, Magnoliales, Magnoliaceae.